Molecule: long non-coding RNA, 229 nt
Filed under: Elaeis guineensis (African oil palm)
Lineage: Eukaryota; Viridiplantae; Streptophyta; Magnoliopsida; Arecales; Arecaceae
Description: long non-coding RNA (EGUI_LNC002197)
Source: RNAcentral
GUAUGGGGUUAGCUUAGAAAAAGUGAAUAAUAAGGCAAAUAGUUAAAGAUUCGGAUUGUUGUGUGAUUUGUUUAUAGAAAACAAAACUAAACCAAGUCUCUCUCAAGAUCGUUAGGCCUAUUUGUGGAGGUUCUUUUGAUUGUUGGGUUUCACUAGAUGCUCUUGGCUCAGUAGGAUGAUUAUUAACAGCCUAGGAUCAAAAUAUUGUGGAAGAAAAUUUAGUCCACAA